AUUGAACGCUGGCGGCAUGCCUUACACAUGCAAGUCGAACGGCAGCACGGGUGCUUGCACCUGGUGGCGAGUGGCGAACGGGUGAGUAAUACAUCGGAACGUACCUUAUCGUGGGGGAUAACGCAGCGAAAGCUGUGCUAAUACCGCAUACGCCCUGAGGGGGAAAGCGGGGGAUCGCAAGACCUCGCGCGAUUAGAGCGGCCGAUGCCUGAUUAGCUUGUUGGUGGGGUAAAAGCCCACCAAGGCGACGAUCUGUAGCUGGUCUGAGAGGACGAGCAGCCGCCCGGGGGCUGGGACAGGGCCCAGACUCCUACGGGAGGCAGGAGGGGGGAAGUUUGGACAAGGGGGGCAACCCUGAUCCAGCAAUGCCGCGUGAGUGAAGAAGGCCUUCGGGUUGUAAAGCUCUUUUGUCAGGGAAGAAACACCGGCUCUAACACAGUCCGGGAAUGACGGUACCUGAAGAAUAAGCACCGGCUAACUACGUGCCAGCCGCCGCCGUAA
RNAcentral lists this ribosomal RNA (501 nucleotides) under uncultured bacterium. Its description in RNAcentral is "partial 16S ribosomal RNA". It matches the Rfam family "Bacterial small subunit ribosomal RNA", at positions 29 to 523 of the family's 1533-position model. The record is from RNAcentral.